UACGAAGGGGGCUAGCGUUGCUCGGAAUCACUGGGCGUAAAGCGCACGUAGGCGGACUCUUAAGUCGGUGGUGAAAUCCUGGAGCUCAACUCCAGAACUGCCUCGAUACUGAGAGUCUUGAGUCCGGGAGAGGUGAGUGGAACUGCGAGUGUAAGAGGUGAAAUUCGUAGAUAUUCGCAAGAACACCAGUGGCGAAGGCGG
RNAcentral lists this ribosomal RNA (201 nucleotides) under uncultured bacterium. RNAcentral describes it as "partial 16S ribosomal RNA". It matches the Rfam family "Bacterial small subunit ribosomal RNA", at positions 524 to 724 of the family's 1533-position model. The record is from RNAcentral.